This 499-nucleotide ribosomal RNA is filed under the name uncultured bacterium. RNAcentral describes it as "partial 16S ribosomal RNA". It matches the Rfam family "Bacterial small subunit ribosomal RNA", at positions 28 to 507 of the family's 1533-position model. The record is from RNAcentral.
GACGAACGCUGGCGGCGUGCUUAACACAUGCAAGUCGAACGGGCCUGUCUUCUUUUUUGGGGGUGGGUUGAGUGGCGAACGGGUGAGUAUCACGUGAGUAACCUGCCCUUCGGUCCUGGAUAACCGCUUGAAAGGGCGGCUAAUACGGGGUGGUCCGGUUGGUCCGCAUGGGCUGGUCGGGAUAGAUUCACUGUUUUUGGUGUUUCGGCGGGGGAUGGGCUCGCGGCCUAUCAGCUUGUUGGUGGGGUGAUGGCCUACCAAGGCGGUGACGGGUAGCCGGGCGGAGAGGGUGGGAGGCCAGACUGGGACUGAGAUACGGCCCAGACUCCUGCGGGAGGCAGCAGUGGGGGGUAUUGCACAAGGGGCGGAAGCCGGAUGCAGCGACGUCGCGUGAGGGAUGGAGGCCUUCGGGUUGUGAACCUCUGUUUCCGGUGGUGAAGGCCCUGUCCGUGUGGUGGGGUUGACGGUAGCCGGGGAUGAAGCGCCGGCUAACUACGUG